GGCGAUGGUCGUUCCGCGCCGAUCGUCAAGCUCGGUGAUGCUUCCAUGGCCUCUCCUUUCACCGCCAAACAUGCCUCUGUCAGCCCCAUCCUCGAUAUUAUCCGCCAAGGCCGGAGCACACUAGUCACAACCCUUCAAAUGUUCAAGAUCCUCGGCCUCAAUUGCCUAGCCACAGCAUAUGUACUGAGUGUCAUGAAUUUGGACGGCGUCAAGCUCGGCGACAUCCA
Molecule: unclassified non-coding RNA, 227 nt
Filed under: Hevea brasiliensis (rubber tree)
Lineage: Eukaryota; Viridiplantae; Streptophyta; Magnoliopsida; Malpighiales; Euphorbiaceae
Source: RNAcentral